GUCAUUUUGGCUGAGCUCGUUGUUCUUGGUCUCUUUUGACAUCUCUCCGCUCGCGUGAAAAAUCCUGUUUAACGACGAAUUUUCGGCGUUUUCCCUGUACACUACAAUACCACUAACGAAUAUUUACUUUAAAAACAUGGAGCAAAUGGAAGAUCCCACUGGAUCGGACAACAAACGAGCUAUAGAGCGGAAAAGUAGUUGAAGAUGCCGAGCGAGGACUUCAGAGAGGACAAGCUUUCAGCCGCAGUGCAGUCCAUCACUUUGUCACUCCCCUCAUAUCCUAACAUCAGUCACAGUCACAGGAGUUGGUUCAGCCAGUGUCCUGACCUCUGAUACUCUCAGUCUAAGAUCAGCAGUGUCAUCACAAGCGUUUCAAUGGGUGGUAAUGGAGGAGGUGGACGGGGAGGUGAAAGGUGGAGUCUCUUUGGGGUGCGCCCCAUUGUGCAGAAAUCCCCCACUGACCCGGGAUCAGAGACCAACACAC
This is a long non-coding RNA of Xyrauchen texanus (razorback sucker), 484 nucleotides long. RefSeq lists it as uncharacterized. The record is from RefSeq and is a predicted model, not a curated record. Lineage: Eukaryota; Metazoa; Chordata; Actinopteri; Cypriniformes; Catostomidae. The transcript is spliced from 3 exons.